UGCGGGGUGGAGCAGUCUGGUAGCUCGACGGGCUCAUAACCCGUAGGUCGCGGGUUCAAAUCCUGCCCCCGCUACCA
This 77-nucleotide transfer RNA is filed under the name Pseudomonadales bacterium. RNAcentral describes it as "tRNA-Met". It matches the Rfam family "tRNA". Rfam says of the family: Transfer RNA (tRNA) molecules are approximately 80 nucleotides in length. Their secondary structure includes four short double-helical elements and three loops (D, anti-codon, and T loops). Further hydrogen bonds mediate the characteristic L-shaped molecular structure. tRNAs have two regions of fundamental functional importance: the anti-codon, which is responsible for specific mRNA codon recognition, and the 3' end, to which the tRNAs corresponding amino acid is attached (by aminoacyl-tRNA synthetases). tRNAs cope with the degeneracy of the genetic code in two manners: having more than one tRNA (with a specific anti-codon) for a particular amino acid; and 'wobble' base-pairing, i.e. permitting non-standard base-pairing at the 3rd anti-codon position. Lineage: Bacteria; Pseudomonadati; Pseudomonadota; Gammaproteobacteria; Pseudomonadales. RNAcentral also lists the same sequence under 6 other names. The record is from RNAcentral.